GAAAUGCGAUAAGUAAUGUGAAUUGCAGAAUUCAGUGAAUCAUCGAAUCUUUGAACGCACCUUGCGCUCCUUGGUAUUCCUUGGAGCAUGCCUGUUUGAGUAUCAUGAAAUCUUCAAAGUAAAUCUUUUGUUAACUCAAUUGGUUUCUACUUUGGUAUUGGAGGUCUUUGCAGCUUCACACCUGCUCCUCUUUGUUCAUUAGCUGGAUCUCAGUGUUAUGCUUGGUUCCACUCGGCGUGAUAAGUUAUCUAUCGCUGAGGACACUUUAAAAGGUGGCCAAGGUAAAUGCAGAUGAACCGCUUCCAAUAGUCCAUUGACUUGGACAAUACUUUUAUGAUCUGAUCUCAAAUCAGGUAGGACUACCCGCUGAACUUAAGC
This 378-nucleotide unclassified non-coding RNA is filed under the name plant metagenome. Its description in RNAcentral is "partial contains 5.8S ribosomal RNA, internal transcribed spacer 2, and large subunit ribosomal RNA". The stretch from base 1 to 105 matches the Rfam family "5.8S ribosomal RNA", at positions 50 to 154 of the family's 154-position model. The record is from RNAcentral.